UUGCCGACGGGAGGCAGCAGUGGGGAAUAUUGCACAAUGGGGGGAACCCUGAUGCAGCGACGCCGCGUGAGUGAAGAAGUAUCUCGGUACGUAAAGCUCUAUCAGCAGGGAAGAAAAUGACGGUACCUGACUAAGAAGCCCCGGCUAACUACGUGCCAGCAGCCGCGGUAAUACGUAGAGGGCAAGCGUUAUCCGGAUUUACUGGGUGUAAAGGGAGCGUAGACGGCACUGCAAGUCCGGAGUGAAAGCCCACAGCCCAACU
This 262-nucleotide ribosomal RNA is filed under the name uncultured bacterium. RNAcentral describes it as "partial 16S ribosomal RNA". It matches the Rfam family "Bacterial small subunit ribosomal RNA", at positions 335 to 614 of the family's 1533-position model. The record is from RNAcentral.